Molecule: long non-coding RNA, 1094 nt
Organism: Macrobrachium nipponense
Lineage: Eukaryota; Metazoa; Arthropoda; Malacostraca; Decapoda; Palaemonidae
Exons: 3
Source: RefSeq, a predicted model, not a curated record
AUCGAUAUCAAGAAUAAAAGCAUUUAAAUAUAAAGAUAUAUACACAGAAUUAAGUAUCAAUGUUCAUGGCAGUUGUAUUUGAUGAGACAGGAACUACUUGAUUAAUCGCAGAGAACUGUCUCACGGCUCAUUUACUUCUAGUUCUCGGGACCCAUGAUAGAAAGGCUAGCCCAACAGUGAAUGAAUUUACAGAUUUUUCGUAUAAUAGUCGUGCUUUGAACCUUGAAGUAAGUGCAUUGAUGUGAGACUUUUGUGGUAUAAGAAGAGUUCAUGAAAGUGCAAGCGCAGGCCUGCAUAUUAUGCAUAAUGAAGCCUCAACAUCUCCCCUCAAGUGAAAAAUAUAUUGGCAAAUCAGCUUUUAUCGAAUGCAGUGAAGACGCCUCUAACACUGUACCCAGAUCAAUGAAGUCACCAUUCCAAUGUCAUGGCGUCCCGAGAGAUCACAGCCGUUGGCCACAAGUCUGUCAUGCAAUGAGAGACUCAGGAUAGGGGUAAAGUUUGACGUAAUUGUCAUGACAAUAUAAAUAUUUAACUUCAAGACUGUUCGCUUUGCGAUUUGGCAUAUUAUUGGAUUCUCGAUGACACGCUAUAUCAGUCAACCUCACCCUUGACACAUGACAAAAAAAUAUAAGUCUGCGUUUCACUCAUUUCUAUUCAUCAGACAAUUAAAUAUAACUGAGAUGGCUUUGAUGAAUACUGUUCAGUUCAUAUUUGAUCCUGAAAGAUAAUGUAGAAGAAAAUUAUAAAUGCAAGAAGGUAUUACAAAAGUACACAAUCUCCGGCUUCCGAGAACAAAAGACCAAUAUUUACUCAGCUUUUGCCUGAUGGUAAACAUUGUUCGACUAACAAGUGGAGUUCUGCAUGUUUGAAAGUUUUAUUAGGGAGUGUUUAGGGGGAGUGUAUAGUUAUUCCGUCGAUUGCGUUUACGUCAAGUUCAUUAUAUAUAGUUCUGUGUUAUGUUGUACAGAAGUCUUGCUGCAAAUCAUAAUAAAUUUGGUGCGCGUUGUUUUAGUGCUUUAUAACACGUUUAUUGUCUUGGAACCGUUUCCCAAAAUAACACUUAGUCAUCGAAUUCCUCCCUGGGCGGAGUGUGG